This 78-nucleotide small RNA is filed under the name Terasakiispira papahanaumokuakeensis. Its description in RNAcentral is "Halomonadaceae bacterium PH27A isrK Hfq binding RNA". It matches the Rfam family "isrK Hfq binding RNA". Lineage: Bacteria; Pseudomonadati; Pseudomonadota; Gammaproteobacteria; Oceanospirillales. The record is from Rfam by way of RNAcentral.
GCCGCUGCAAAAUCAGUGGCUCGGGUUUGGUCGCCCGAUUUGUAGAAGGCGCAGCAUGCGCUUAACAGCGCUUUUUUU